ACUUUCAGCAGUGAGGAAGGUGGGUAUGUUAAUAGCAUACUCAUUUGACGUUAGCUGCAGAAGAAGCACCGGCUAACUCCGUGCCAGCAGCCGCGGUAAUACGGAGGGUGCGAGCGUUAAUCGGAAUUACUGGGCGUAAAGCGCAUGCAGGUGGUUUGUUAAGUCAGAUGUGAAAGCCCGGGGCUCAACCUCGGAAUUGCAUUUGAAACUGGCAAACUAGAGUACUGUAGAGGGGGUAGAAUUUCAGGUGUAGCGGUGAAAUGCGUAGAGAUCUGAAGGAAUACCGGUGGCGAAGGCGGCCCCCUGGACAGAUACUGACACUCAGAUGCGAAAGCGUGGGGAGCAAACAGGAUUAGAUACCCUGGUAG
RNAcentral lists this ribosomal RNA (368 nucleotides) under uncultured bacterium. RNAcentral describes it as "bacterial SSU rRNA". It matches the Rfam family "Bacterial small subunit ribosomal RNA", at positions 432 to 793 of the family's 1533-position model. The record is from RNAcentral.